RNAcentral lists this long non-coding RNA (1136 nucleotides) under Salvia miltiorrhiza (redroot sage). RNAcentral's name for it is "long non-coding RNA (SMIL_LNC001479)". Lineage: Eukaryota; Viridiplantae; Streptophyta; Magnoliopsida; Lamiales; Lamiaceae. The record is from RNAcentral.
CACGACACUCACAGCAAUCAGAUCUCCCUCACUCUCGGUUCUCUGACUCCGGCCACACACGGCCGCCGCAGACCUUUCCCGGCGAAGAACCGUCGGCCACCAUCCAUCUCUCUCGAACUCCCCUCUCUCUAACAAUUAAACAGAAAACACACACACACAUCCCUUUCAGCGGCGCAUAACUCACACACACAGACAGAGCGGUCCCUCAUCUCCGGUCCUCCUCCGCCGUAGCAGCAACCGCGGAGAACCCACGGCCGCCGCUUCACGCCCUCACUUCUCCCUCAAACCCCAUCUCUCUGUCUUACCAUCAGAUCCGCUCCCUUCCUCUCAGAUCGAAAACCUCAGCACCGUCGCGGCGGCUCCAUCCCCGACGAAGCAACACCCGACAGACAACUCUCUCUCUCUCUCUCUAAAUUCUGAAGACGGCGCAGCUAUAGGCUGCGCUUCCACCCCGGUCUCGCUCCUCUCUGUCUCCGGCAGACAACGGCGACAAGGCCGCCGCCUCGCCUCUCACCCCUCUCUGGCUUUGACGGACAACAGCUGUCAGGCCGCCGCCGCCGCUGCCGAGCUCCGAUAUCAGAAAAUACUCUCCUCCGAUCUCGCUCGUCUCACACAACAGCAGCAAGAAACCAACAAAAAAAAUCAUGGCAAAAUCGAGUUCAACCCAAGAUCUCCAUUUCCACUCAUUUCUUCUCAUAUAAAACAGGCUGUACAUAGUGAUUCUAAGUCCUAUUGUUUGUAAAAACAUGAACUUGAAAUUUUACUAACAAAGUAAACAUGUAUGCAUUUCUGACUUCGUUAUCUGUACAAAAAAAUGUUGUUCUUCUUAUGGAUUAAUGUUUAGUGAAAUACACAUAUGCAUGUAUAUACAUAUAUCUUGUUGAAACGAUGUAAUGAGUGUAUGCUUUUGCUUUCAGUUUAGUGAACCUUCAAGAAUGCUGUCAAGCUACAAGAUGAAUUAGAGGUAUAACCUUUGGGAGGAAUUCUGCUGUAUUGUUGAGCGGUGAAGGCUUGCAUCAGUUUAGCUGGUGAAAUUCUUAGGCGAGAGAGCUCUUUCUUGUGAGAUUAGAGUAUAUGCGUGUGAAUUGAUUUGUGAGAAGUAGGGCUGUCUAGUUGGUUAUCGGGUUUUGGAUAAU